AUCGGCAGGCGCGAAGCGUCGGCCGACCCUCGGGAGGCUUGCACAGGUGCUGCAUGGCUGUCGUCAGCUCGUGUCGUGAGAUGUUCGGUUAAGUCCGCUAACGAGCGCAACCCUCACUGUGUGUUAUAUGUGUCACACGGGACCGCCGGUCUUAAGCCGGAGGAAGGUGGGGAUGACGUCAAGUCAGCAUGGCCUUUAUAUCCUGGGCUACACACACGCUACAAUGGCCAACACAAUAGGUUGCUAAGCCGCGAGGUGGAGCCAAUCCAUAAAGUUGGUCUCAGUUCAGAUUGUAGGCUGCAACCCGCCUGCAUGAAGAUGGAGUUGCUAGUAACCGCAGGUCAGCUAUACUGCGGUGAAUACGUUCCCGGGGCUU
RNAcentral lists this ribosomal RNA (376 nucleotides) under uncultured Leptolinea sp. RNAcentral's name for it is "bacterial SSU rRNA". It matches the Rfam family "Bacterial small subunit ribosomal RNA", at positions 993 to 1382 of the family's 1533-position model. The record is from RNAcentral. Lineage: Bacteria; Bacillati; Chloroflexota; Anaerolineae; Anaerolineales; Anaerolineaceae.